GCUAACCUCACUUUGAUAUGUCAAAUGGGAUCCCAAUCAUGUGACAUCAUUGUAAGCAGCAAUAAACUGUUUAUUUAACAAUAUGUUUGCCUCUUGAAUUAUGUUAUUACAUCUCAUUCAGGGCCCUAGUGAGGCCUUGGGGAGGAGAUUGAGGGUCCACGCAGGCGUAAAAAACAUAGCUGAAAUUUCUGAGAACUGCGGGCGACAACUAAGACAAGGAAAAACAGAAUUUUUUGGAGACAUUCACCAAAACAUCAUUAUUUUGAAUUACUUUAGCUGCUAGCUGCUUUAGUCGCAAGACUCACAAAAUAUAAUUUGUUUUGUGGAUAAGAAAAAAAUAUUUUAACAUUGCAAUAUUUUAUCCAUAAAUAAUAUUUUACAUGGUAAAUUUAAA
This is a long non-coding RNA of Anthonomus grandis grandis, 394 nucleotides long. RefSeq lists it as uncharacterized. The transcript has 2 exons. Lineage: Eukaryota; Metazoa; Arthropoda; Insecta; Coleoptera; Curculionidae. The record is from RefSeq and is a predicted model, not a curated record.